Long non-coding RNA from Notolabrus celidotus (New Zealand spotty), 340 nucleotides. RefSeq lists it as uncharacterized. The transcript has 2 exons. The record is from RefSeq and is a predicted model, not a curated record. NCBI's taxonomy places the organism in Eukaryota, Metazoa, Chordata, Actinopteri, Labriformes, Labridae.
GAUGAGGAGGAUGGAUGAGCAGAGGACCUGCUGCAGAGCGGUGGGAGCCUUUCUUUCAGUGUGCUCACUCAGAGAGGACAAACCAGCCUGAACAGCCAGAGGAUGAGGAGCGCCCCAAACAGACCAACACAGAGGAGGCUGUUAGCCUCUGCCUCCUCUGAGCUGGAGGGUCUGGGAUGCUCCUCACUCACACACAUGAACUCAUCAUGAUUGUGAAGAUAUGCAGAGAAAGGAGAAAGUUUAGAAAUAAAGACUGUUUAAAGCAUUUCAUUUGUUUCUGUUUACAACUUUUACAAAGUACUAAUGGCUUUUGCAAUAAAAGACAUUUUCUUUACAUGCA